UUCUAUGAUUCUAUGAUUCUGAGAGUUGCAGAAGUCAUCAGAUUCUUCAACCACAAUUGCAAAGGCUUCUUACAUUGUGUCCUUCAGCCUUUUCAGUGUGAAAUCCUACCAAAGGGAAAUAAGUUACUAGUGCUACCAUACUAGAAAAAAAUACAGUGCCUGGUUUGACACCAACGAGUACUUUUCACCAUUGUUCUUGUCCUCCAUGCUCCAGCAGAGUGGGUCAAAUGUAGGUUUGCCUCGAGAUCAGCCUUUACAGCUCAGCCCCUGAAAAUAAUGAAGCAAGAAAAAACGCAAUUCCUGUGCCACAGCUCAGCAGCAGGCACUGGCUCUGUACUCAGAUCACAUAAAAUAUUGCUGAAUAUUGACCACAUGCUGCAUUGCAGCUAUUGAGGAUUUUCUCUUAGACGCUCCUGUACCUGCUCUGGCACCAGGAGCUCAGCAGGUGAAUAAUUAUCCCAAUCCCUGUGUGCACCCUCUCCUACUUUGACAUGCACACACACAUAUACUCAUGCUGCUGUUCUGGUUUGGUUUGGUGGGUUUUUUGGUAGCGGGGGAAGGGCCCCAGGAGCAGCUCCAGUAAGAAGCUGAGAAGCUCCCCCUGCUCCAAACCCAGCCAAGGAGCCAUUAGAGGGACAAUAGAUGCACCUCAGUGGUUAACAUACAAAAGAACUGAGAUAAGAGCUGAGCAGAAAAGGACUUGGGGGAGAAGAGCUGUUCUGGUGGAGCAGAGCAGUGCUGGUGGUUGGUGAGGAAGAAGGGGUAGAAGUUGCCCAAGCAGAAGUUUUCCCUGCAACCCAUGGUGAGAUGGCAGCUGUCCUCCUGCACUCAUGGAGGAACGUGGUGGAACAUUCCCUGAAGGCGCCGGGAGGGGUGAACUUGGCCACUGGACUUGGAUUUUGUGGCCAGUGGAUUUGCUGCCAGUGGACUCUGAUUGCACAGCUUUGGAAGACCCCGGUGCCAGGGGAGUUUGUUCCCGAAGCAGCCCCUGACUCUGUGGGAAGCCCAGGCUGGAGCAGCUCCGGACCUCGUGGGAAGGACUCGUGAAGGAGAGCUGUGGCUUCCCUGGGUGUUUGGAGAGAAGACAGGCACCUUCAUCUUCACUCUCAGAGCUCCUGGGCUCACCAGUUUGCCCCUGCUUGAUGUGACAAGGAUCUCAGCAACAAGCACUAUGCACGCCGAUCUGGGCUGUCUCAUCUGAGUGGUUAGUGGUACCACACCACUUGCCAGAAAAAUUAGCAACAGAAGGAUGAGGCAGUUUUUGGAUUAAACACUGGGAUAUCUUCCCUGAACCAUUCAGAAUGCCACGUGGAUGAUACAGGUGCUCACAGAGUUCUUCAGUGAGUCACAGUGAUCUCUCUGUUCAUGAGACCUUGAGCCAAAUUCAUCUCCAUAAUCCAGCUUGUUUGAUGACAAAAACAACUAUCGACAGCAAGCAACUGAGAUCAGGCAGAAAGAACGAGAUGUUUUGAGAGGACUGUA
Apus apus (common swift) is the source of this 1482-nucleotide long non-coding RNA. RefSeq lists it as uncharacterized. Lineage: Eukaryota; Metazoa; Chordata; Aves; Apodiformes; Apodidae. The record is from RefSeq and is a predicted model, not a curated record. The transcript is spliced from 4 exons.